RNAcentral lists this small RNA (146 nucleotides) under Streptomyces lydicus. RNAcentral's name for it is "c-di-AMP sequence". It matches the Rfam family "c-di-AMP riboswitch aptamer (ydaO/yuaA leader)". From Rfam's summary of the family: This family represents a conserved RNA structure found upstream of the ydaO and yuaA genes in Bacillus subtilis and related genes in other bacteria. Lineage: Bacteria; Bacillati; Actinomycetota; Actinomycetes; Kitasatosporales; Streptomycetaceae. The record is from Rfam by way of RNAcentral.
GCACCUCCAGCACCUCGAACUGCACCAAGGGAACCGGGGAACCACCACCUUGGGGUGAAUCGGACGCCUCCGCCAGAAGGCGCCCGUAGGAGACCUUCCUGCUCCGAACCCGUCAGCUAACCCGGUAGGCGAGAAGGAAGGAAAGG